Molecule: ribosomal RNA, 497 nt
Filed under: uncultured bacterium
Lineage: Bacteria
Description: partial 16S ribosomal RNA
Rfam family: Bacterial small subunit ribosomal RNA
Source: RNAcentral
GAUGAACGCUGGCGGCGUGCCUAAUACACGCAAGUCGAGCGAACGGACGAGAAGCUUGCUUCUCUGAUGUUAGCGGCGGACGGGUGAGUAACACGUGGAUAACCUACCUAUAAGACUGGGAUAACUUCGGGAAACCGGAGCUAAUACCGGAUGAUAUUUUGAACCGCAUGGUUCAAAAGUGAAAGACGGUCUUGCUGUCACUUAUAGAUGGAUCCGCGCUGCAUUAGCUAGUUGGUAAGGUAACGGCUUACCAAGGCAACGAUGCAUAGCCGACCUGAGAGGGUGAUCGGCCACACUGGAACUGAGACACGGUCCAGACUCCUACGGGAGGCAGCAGUAGGAAAUCUUCCGCAAUGGGCGAAAGCCUGACGGAGCAACGCCGCGUGAGUGAUGAAGGUCUUCGGAUCGUAAAACUCUGUUAUUAGGGAAGAACAUAUGUGUAAGUAACUGUGCACAUCUUGACGGUACCUAAUCAGAAAGCCACGGCUAACUACGUG